RNAcentral lists this ribosomal RNA (473 nucleotides) under uncultured organism. RNAcentral describes it as "partial 16S ribosomal RNA". It matches the Rfam family "Bacterial small subunit ribosomal RNA", at positions 333 to 797 of the family's 1533-position model. The record is from RNAcentral.
ACACUCCUGCGGGAGGCAGCAGUGGGGAAUUUUGGACAAUGGGCGAAAGCCUGAUCCAGCCAUGCCGCGUGCAGGAUGAAGGCCUUCGGGUUGUAAACUGCUUUUGUACGGAACGAAACGGCCUUUUCUAAUAAAGAGGGCUAAUGACGGUACCGUAAGAAUAAGCACCGGCUAACUACGUGCCAGCAGCCGCGGUAAUACGUAGGGUGCAAGCGUUAAUCGGAAUUACUGGGCGUAAAGCGUGCGCAGGCGGUUAUGUAAGACAGUUGUGAAAUCCCCGGGCUCAACCUGGGAACUGCGUCUGUGACUGCAUAGCUAGAGUACGGUAGAGGGGGAUGGAAUUCCGCGUGUAGCAGUGAAAUGCGUAGAGAUGCGGAGGAACACCGAUGGCGAAGGCAAUCCCCUGGACCUGUACUGACGCUCAUGCACGAAAGCGUGGGGAGCAAACAGGAUUAGAUACCCGGGUAGUCCCA